CUCUACGGCCAUACCACCCUGACUGUGCCUGAUCUUGUCUGAUCUUGGAAGCUAAGCAGGGUCAGGCCUGGUUAGUACUUGGGUGGGGGGACAUUCGUGGUAAGAAGGC
Pan troglodytes (chimpanzee) is the source of this 109-nucleotide non-coding RNA. The record is from Rfam. Lineage: Eukaryota; Metazoa; Chordata; Mammalia; Primates; Hominidae.